RNAcentral lists this transfer RNA (60 nucleotides) under Salmonella enterica subsp. enterica serovar Enteritidis str. EC20120697. Its description in RNAcentral is "tRNA-Und (NNN) (tRNA-Und-NNN-1-1)". It matches the Rfam family "tRNA", at positions 16 to 71 of the family's 71-position model. Rfam says of the family: Transfer RNA (tRNA) molecules are approximately 80 nucleotides in length. Their secondary structure includes four short double-helical elements and three loops (D, anti-codon, and T loops). Further hydrogen bonds mediate the characteristic L-shaped molecular structure. tRNAs have two regions of fundamental functional importance: the anti-codon, which is responsible for specific mRNA codon recognition, and the 3' end, to which the tRNAs corresponding amino acid is attached (by aminoacyl-tRNA synthetases). tRNAs cope with the degeneracy of the genetic code in two manners: having more than one tRNA (with a specific anti-codon) for a particular amino acid; and 'wobble' base-pairing, i.e. permitting non-standard base-pairing at the 3rd anti-codon position. Lineage: Bacteria; Pseudomonadati; Pseudomonadota; Gammaproteobacteria; Enterobacterales; Enterobacteriaceae. The record is from RNAcentral.
NNGUAGAGCAGUUGACUUUUAAUCAAUUGGUCGCAGGUUCGAAUCCUGCACGACCCACCA